Long non-coding RNA from Harpia harpyja (harpy eagle), 4005 nucleotides. RefSeq lists it as uncharacterized. NCBI's taxonomy places the organism in Eukaryota, Metazoa, Chordata, Aves, Accipitriformes, Accipitridae. The record is from RefSeq and is a predicted model, not a curated record. The transcript is spliced from 2 exons.
AGGCAGCUGCCUGUGAUAAUUCAGAGUUCACUCUGCAGCUCACGUUCCACUCGGGUAAAACACAUACCAGCCCUUUGUGCAACAGCAGCAACUUCCGUAUCUUCACAGCAAAUCCUUACUGAUACUUGCUCCAUAAAACCACAGAAGUUAGUAACAGCUGAAAAAGUUUAUGUUUCUUCCUUUUUUUUUGAAUGCAGAAUUCCCACUCUUCCAGGAAAAUGAAACCUCUUCCCUAGCUCUGCCAUGUUUUGUUGAAGGUCUGCACAUCUUCUACAGCCUCGUUUCCUGCUUUUCUUCUCUUCACGCUUGCAGGGGCCAUAGCUGAGAAACGUUGGCCCAGCUAAGACUGCCUGCACUCACAUUCUACAGUCUUGCAUGUUUGCUGGAGAAAGAAAAAAAAAAGCAAUGUACAUUAAAGCCCGAGAGACAAAUUGUCCAAUUUCAUAGAGAAAGAUAAAAGACUGAAUUGAGAAGGAGCGUUAUGAAGCUUGUACAGUGAGCAAUAGAUGCCCUUUCACAUACACCAGUUGUGGACACAGACCUGCAAGCCUUUGAAAGAAGUCCUGAUUCGCCCAUGUGGGCAACAUCGACAACCAGGAGCUGUUACCUGCAGCAAAGAUGGCAUGGGUUUGUCUUAAUUUUCUCAAAUCUCCAGAGACAGACACAUGAGAAGAGAAAGGACAGAGAUCUGGAAGGUUUACCAGUAGUUUUGGAAACAUUUGAAUCAGAAUUGUUCCUGUUAAUGAAGAUUUUUUAAAAUUAUUUUUUAUUUUUAAAAAGAUUGUGGCACCUCCAAAAAUAAUUUGGACUUUUGGAAUGAGCUAAAGCCAGGUCUUUCAUGCAUAAAGACUGUCAUGGAAAAAGAAGAGGGAUGGAGGAGACAUGGGGCAGGGUUCAUCACUUCCAGAGCACGGGGAGAAGACACGACACACCAUGCAGACGGAGAAAGCGAUGAACAGUUGUUUGUACAUCGCAAGCCCAGCGAUGGGAAACAUGAACUUGAAGCAGUGGAAGGGGGGAUGCCCUGGGAGAAUCGAAAGGCAGCAGGGGAGUGUUACGAUCAAAUUGACUGCUGGAAAAAGUGCCUUGGUGGACACAGGCUGCACCAAAAAGGAGUUCCUGGUGAGCAGGAAGGCUACCAGGAGAGAUCACGAAGACUCAGGAUCAGAACAGAUCUCAUUAAAUCAUGUUCCAGGUCAUGAACUACCAACUUUUUCUGCCGACUGGGGCCUCACUGUUUGGCAGUGAUGGAGGAGAACAAAGACAUGGACAUAUUAGUUGAUAACAGGAUUAGAUGACUGUAUGUGACUGGUAAAGGCCAUGGCAAGCCUAGGACAUAGCAGGCAAGACGGGUGCUGCAAAGUCAGGGAAAUAUUAAGGCCAGGUUACAAAAAGCACCAGCACUCUAGAAGAGUGUCAGUAGCUCUUCUCAUGCAUGUGCCAGCAGGUUGAAUUCAGACUGGAAUUGGUGUACAGAAAAGUGGUUAAGAGGAAUGAAGAUCAUGUCUUCCAAACGGAAACCAAAUAGUCUUGGUUUGUUUAAUAAGUCAAGAGCCUAAGGAGGGAAAUGAUUGCUCUUGUACUGAUGCAAUAGGAAAAUAAACACUGAUGUUUAACGAAGAGCUGUUUAAACUAACACUGGCAGAGGGCAGUUAAUAAUCUUACGUUAGCUGUAAGCAGUUUAUAACUGUAAGAGCAGGCAGCUUUCAGGAGAGCCUGCUGGAAAAAAAAGGAGAACAAGAAACCCAACUGAUCCAAAGACUGAAAAUUCAAGCAGAGGCAAUAUUGCUUUGCCAUCUCGGGUGCAAGAACAACUCUCGCGGGUAUAAACAGGGAAGAGAGUUUCUAUGUCCAAAUAUGCUGGGAAAGUUCACAAUAACGUUGCUGGACUAAUACUCCUGUGUGAUUACCUCUAAGCACACCAGAUGUUCACAGCUACAUGUAUUUACUCAGACUACUCAAACUAAGAACACUUACAGGUAUCUGGAAGCUCAAGAUCUGUGAAAGUAUAACCCUAUUGCGUGUCAAAUUUAGACAGCCAGUUUUUCAAAAUAAAUCUAAUCUAUUAAGCAUUUCCUCAACAAAUGUCCUUAAAAUACAGCUGGUAUAAGUGGGUAAUUGCUUCAGUUAAUGCUUUAUUUCGAGAGUUGUGGCUCCAUACAGAGGGUAAUUUCCAGCAAAGUCGUAACAGAGGAAAACACUCUUGGGAAAUUUAACAACGAACUUAAGGCUCUCUUAGCAUAAUAUAGUGAAUAACAAUUAGAAAGAUAUCAUUAACAUAUGAUACAUAGCUGUGAUUUUGUCCAAACUAAUUAGAGCAGUUGUUAUCAGUAAUAUUAGGAUGAACACUAAAUCAAAGAUAUUAAUAGUGCAUAUAUAUUCUGUAAUUUGUGAUUUAAAUUUUAUUUGAUACGGUGAUGAAGGCAAGUCUUUGUUAAAAACUACCGUAUCACUUCAAGUAUUGCAAAAGGAACUGUUGUAUUUACAUCAGCUCCUACAGCGGAAACUUAACUCGGUGCUACUAGUAGGUUAAAAAAACAAAAAUAGAAGAGAUGGACCAAUGUCUGCUUUUAAGAGAGAUAAGCAUCAUGUCACAUCCUCUUUCCCUCCUGCGGUACUUCUCCCUCUCAGGCACUGGAAGGGCACACGUGUGUGCGUGCACUCGAGGGGAAAGCUGGCCCGGGAGCAGCAAGCCGAGGCAAGUAGAAAGUGGGAUGGGGAGUAUUUCGUUCCCGCUAGUGAAGAGGGGGUUGGUCCCACCUUCCAUACGGCCUUAUGUAUAAAGACCCAACAGAACUGUAAAUCAUACCUAAAGAAAGUAAACACUAAAAAAAACACCAAACAAGACCUAUGCAGCUUUAUCCAGGGACACGUUUUUUAAAUUACCUGUCUUGUGUUACGCUGUUGAUCUCUGAAUAUCAUACAAGCAACUUGGCCGCAGCGAUAUGGAUACAGAACUGUAAAUAAUCACAGAUGUUUCAUCAGAAAAAGAUGUGAGUUAUUUCUAUUUAAACAAAUGCUUUGCACAGGAGGGCAAAAGGUAUGCAGUAGUAUUUCAGCAAUUUCCAAGAUGUCAAAACAUUCCUCGAGUUCCAGGUUAAAGGGUGAAAUCUUGGCCUUAAUAAGAUGCUCUUCAAAUAUUAUGGGCCAGCUAUGGAUGAACCUAACUGUAAGCAAAUCUUACUAUGGAUUGAUAGAGUAUUUUACAGGCGACUUCCUCAUGCACGCAACCGUCUUAACCAACCUACAAUGAAUUACACAUUUGGCUUUUUACACCAGUCCCGUCUCAUGGAAGGGGUUUACAUGGGAAGGUGGUGCACUCGGAGCACCGUCUGAGACCAGAACCAGGGUCUGUAGAUAAAGAGAGAACACAGCGCUUUCUGUUUGCAAUGCUGUUUAUUUUAGAAAAGCCCCUUUGAUCAUCUGAAUGAAAAAUGUGGGCAGAAAAGUCACAAAUGUUAUAAAACAAAGUUUAUUCUGCAAUAUUUUGUCAUAAUGAAUUGCAUCUCUUUGGUAAAAAUAAACUUUAUAAACGUUUUAAUUAACAGAGAUUAGCAUACAAAAAACUAAACUUCUGUAAAUCGUCUUUAAAACGGGUAAAGGACUAAACUGGAGGAAAAAGGGUUAGAGUUGGUCACCUACUGGCAAAAUUAUUCUAAACAAACCCAAGGACAUUGCUUAUGCUACAUUAGAAACAAGCUAAUGGGAACGGUUUAAAAACAACUCUGGUUCAUUUGAUCAGAAAGCAUUCUUACAAUUCACUUUUAAAUAAAUAAUAGUUACAAUGAAUUGGCAAUUAUAAAAUGUUUUAUAUCACUAUAUGGCAGUAACAUAAUACUUUUAAUUAUGCACUUUUUAGUUUGAAGAAAUGUACAUUUAUAAAACAGACUUUGAUAAUGGCACUGGCAGUUAGGUGUGAAGAAUGUGCUUUAAGAUAUAAUGGCAGGUGCAACAUUUAAAAUAUUCUACUUUUUCUUUUCAAUAAAUAUUUUGACUACACCAUUA